UCCAGAUCCAAAGCUUUGAAUAAAUCUAGCACCAAAGCUCCAGCAAUAUCAACCAGCGCAUCCAUGUCUAAGAAUCCAGCGAAAUCACCACUAAAGCUCCAGCGCAUCCAUGUCUAUCCGUUCUUCAAGAACAUAGUUUAACGAUUGAGUUCAACUGGUUCUGGUUCCAUUCAUGCAAAGAGUUUGAAGCGAUCUCUAUGGUAAGGUUUAGGUUUUGUUGUCGAAUACAGUUAAUUAUUUAAAUUAUUUUGCUUUUUUUUUUGUUGUUGGUAUGUUAUUGGGAUGCAGAUAAAUAUCCAGAGUUAUGGUAACCAAGCUGAGAUCAAAGCGCGCAAAGGUUGUAAGAGAGACAAAGAGAAAGAGGCUUUAAAAAGGUUUGUUGUUAUCUGAUUAUUUAUGUUUUAGUUUUGUGUUUAUGUUAGUUUAAAAUUUAGCAAUUUUUUAGAAACUUACUUCGGAUGGGUGAUCUCCUUUUUAAGUCAACUAAAAUCAAUGAUAGAGAAAUCAACAAUAGUGUUGUUUAAAUUUUAUUCUGUAUGGAAACCAUCUGAUUCAGCUCCAUAGAGGAUUACUGCAUUUUAUGUUGAGACGAGCUUACUGAAGCGAGUGCUAGGGUAUUGCAACACAUCGCUUCAGCUCCAGAGGAUGGUAAUAAUCGUUUUGCCAUUGUAGUUGUAAAGGUAUAGUAAUUUUACUUUUUGGUUUUGAUUGCCAAAUGGUCUUAGUUCUCAACUAUAGUUCUCAACUACCGUUUAUAAUCUUUAUCCUCAUUUUUCAGCCAUAUAUUACUUAAAUUUUUUUUUCUGGUGAGCAGAAAAUGUCAUACAACAAUUAUCUUGGUGUUGACUCAGCGUGGAACUGCGAAUCAGAUUCUGAAAACCCGACAUGUGCAGUCAUGAAGCACACUGUGAGGCCUACCGGCUAGCUUUAAUAGCAGAUCCAGGUAGCACCUUUGGUGGUAUUGUAGCCGCCAAUGUCAAAGUAGGCUAGGGAUUCUUCGCAACAAAAAGAAAAGACAUCUAUUGUGUUACUGAUCAAAAUCUCACCAUCUGUUUCACUCAGAAUAUUGUCCUCUCGGAGCUUCAAUAUAACCCAGUUGUGAUCGAGAGAAACAUGUUCAGGUUCCGCUCAUUCCAAGAGUUUGAGGGGUGAUUUGUAUGAUAUCAUCGGCCCAUGAAGGUCAUCAAUUGACAGUCUCUCAGCAAACACCCGGUCUUGAACGGAGGCAGCACUCCCACCUACAGCCAAAACAGUGACCUAUGAUUAACGUCUACCUUUGGGACCAGGCUUCUCAUGAGUCCCACAACAGGUUCAAUGAAAGUCUCGCCACUCUUGCUGUUGUAUUAGUAACAUCAGUUAACACUAAAUGUUUUGGAGGUACCGUGCUGAGAUAUCUAUCUAUGACAAUGUCAUUAAGGCAACUUUUGUGCUCCUUGGUAAUACUGGUCCUGAUCUAACAUAGGCAGGCGUUAGAGCUUAUUGACAAUUACUUCGAGGCUAAUGGGGACAUUGGUGCUAACCAUGAGAUGCCAACUCCACAAUGUCUUGUGGAAAUCUCGAGCUCCAACCUUACAGUUAAGAGACAUACCAUAAUUGUGACGAAGGUUGUUUGUCCUGCAGUUCUGCCACCAUUUGUAGUAGCAGAAAGCCAACCAGACGCAAUCGAUGAAGAGAGCACAUGCUCCUGGAUUAAUUCAUUUAUGUCAUAGGGAGUAACUUUAUCCAAACUAUUUUUGAACUCUUUGUUCUUGCAUAUUUUUUAUAAAUAAUGUAUAAUGACUUGUGAAGUUGAGGUACUCUCCUUCCUAAGCAUAUGUUGUGUUUUCGUUCUUUAUAAGUUGGGUUUUAAAUUUGAAAUACAUAAGAACUAUAUUCUGAA
Brassica napus (rape) is the source of this 1879-nucleotide long non-coding RNA. RefSeq lists it as uncharacterized. The record is from RefSeq and is a predicted model, not a curated record. The transcript is spliced from 6 exons. NCBI's taxonomy places the organism in Eukaryota, Viridiplantae, Streptophyta, Magnoliopsida, Brassicales, Brassicaceae.